GAUAAGGAGCUUGCUCCUUUGACGUUAGCGGCGGACGGGUGAGUAACACGUGGAUAACCUACCUAUAAGACUGGGAUAACUUCGGGAAACCGGAGCUAAUACCGGAUAACAUAUUGAACCGCAUGGUUCAAUAGUGAAAGGCGGCUUUGCUGUCACUUAUAGAUGGAUCCGCGCCGUAUUAGCUAGUUGGUAAGGUAACGGCUUACCAAGGCAACGAUACGUAGCCGACCUGAGAGGGUGAUCGGCCACACUGGAACUGAGACACGGUCCAGACUCCUACGGGAGGCAGCAGUAGGGAAUCUUCCGCAAUGGGCGAAAGCCUGACGGAGCAACGCCGCGUGAGUGAUGAAGGUCUUCGGAUCGUAAAACUCUGUUAUCAGGGAAGAACAAAUGUGUAAGUAACUGUGCACAUCUUGACGGUACCUGAUCAGAAAGCCACGGCUAACUACGUGCCAGCAGCCGCGGUAAUACGUAGGUGGCAAGCGUUAUCCGGAAUUAUUGGGCGUAAAGCGCGCGUAGGCGGUUUUUUA
RNAcentral lists this ribosomal RNA (530 nucleotides) under Staphylococcus sp. Its description in RNAcentral is "bacterial SSU rRNA". It matches the Rfam family "Bacterial small subunit ribosomal RNA", at positions 70 to 585 of the family's 1533-position model. Lineage: Bacteria; Bacillati; Bacillota; Bacilli; Caryophanales; Staphylococcaceae. The record is from RNAcentral.